GACGAACGCUGGCGGCGUGCCUAAUACAUGCAAGUCGAACGAACAGACCAGGAGCUUGCUCCUCUGACGUUAGCGGCGGGCGGGUGAGUAACAUGUGUAUAACCUACCUAUAAGACUGGGAUAACUACGGGAAACCGGAUCUAAUACCGGAUGAUAUAUUGAACCGCGGUGGUCAAUAGUAAAAUUCGGUGUUUGUGGCACUUAUAGAUGGAUCCGCGCCUCAUUAGUGAGUUGGGACGGUAAAUGCUUACCAAGGCAACGAGGCGUAACCGACCGGAGAGGGUGAGCGGCGACACUGGAAGUGAGACACGGUCCAGAGUCUGAGGGGAGGCAGCGGUAGGGACUCUUCCGCGAUGGGCGAAAGCUUGAAGGAGCAGCGCCGGGUGAGUGCUGAAGGUCUUCGGACCGGAAAACUGUGUUAUUAUGGAAGAUCAAAUGUGCAAGUAACGAUGCAUGUAUUGACGGUACCUAAACAGAAAGCCCCGGCUAACUCCGUG
RNAcentral lists this ribosomal RNA (497 nucleotides) under uncultured bacterium. RNAcentral's name for it is "partial 16S ribosomal RNA". It matches the Rfam family "Bacterial small subunit ribosomal RNA", at positions 28 to 507 of the family's 1533-position model. The record is from RNAcentral.